GCCCAGCCCUUUGCCCAUUUUUAAAAUUGGGUUGUUUGUCUUUUUGUUGUUGGGUUGUAGGUGUUCUUUAUAUAUUCAGGAUAUUACAACCUAAUCAAAUAUGAUUUACAGAUAUUUUCUACCAUUCUGUCAGUUGUCUUUUUACUCUGCAAUAGUACCCAUUCUUGAUGGGGCUAUUUUUUUUUUAUUAUUGAACUGAAAAAGUUCUUUAGAGGACUUGUCUAGAGACAAGUCCAUCAUCGGAUAUAUGAAUUGCAAAAAAAAAUUUUUUUAUUCUGUAGGCUGUGUCUUCACUUGCUCCUGGUGUCCUUUGAAGCACAAACAUUUUUAAUUUUGACAAUGAAUACUGGGCUCUUGGAAAAGAUGUUUAACAGAACUUUCACCUCCUUUAUUGGCCUCAGACUCAAGGUCUCAUAGGGCACCAUAAUGGUUCACUUAAACAAGUUCAAAUGAAAUCAAAUGAAACAUGGCACCUUUCAGUCAGCAGUCGAGCAUCGGGGUGAACUGUAAUGAGUCUGACUCCAUUUUUUUUUUUUUUUUUUUUUGAGACGGAGUUUCACUCUUGUUGCCCAGGCUGCAGUGCAAUGGCACGAUCUCGGCUCACUGCAACCUCCCCCUCCCAGCUUCAAGUGAUUCUCCCACCGCAGCCUCCCAAGUAGCUGGGAUUACAGGCAUGCGCCACCACGUCCGGCUAAUUUUGUAUUUUUAGUAGACACGGGGUUUCUCCAUGUUGGUCAGGCUGGUCUCGAAAUCCUGACCUCAGGUGAUCCUCCCAACCCGGCCUCCUAGAGUGCUGGGAUGACAGGCGUAAGCCACCGCGCCCAGCCAAUUCUGACUCCAUUUUUGAUGAUUAACUGCUGACAGCUGUCAAGCCCCAUCCCUCCCUUUUCCCCUCUUGCCGUAUAGCUGGACAAACCAAUAAAAAAGCCCAGCUGCUCCCUCCCUUGCUGCUGGCAGAUAGUUUCACCCACACAAACCCAGCCCAUGGGUAGGGGCCCUCACCCCAGCCUCCCUUCCAAACACAAAGCCAGGCCAGCUGCCCCUGUCUGCAUUCUCAAGCUACUUUGGGGCCUGUUUAGGAACCUGCUGUACUCUCCCCAGAAUGGCUCAUUACAUGAGUCACAAAUCUUUUCAUGCCUUCUCGGUGUGCAGAUAGCAUCAUCAGUCUCAACAUCCAAACCAAAUUUCACGUGGGUUAGGGGAGAUCUAUCCCACAUCUGUGGGGUGAUCACAGCAAUGCACAUCUCCUAAAACUCUCAACAUCCUCCUACGUCAAGGCCAAUACCACGGCUAAAAUAAUUAACAAACUGGACCAUUCAAUACAGAAGCCGCAAGUGGUUAGUGGCUAUUAAGAACUUGAAAUGUGCCUGAUCCAAACUGAGAUGUGCCAUAAGUAUAAAACCCACAAUGAAUUUCAAAGAACUAGUACUCACAAAAAGUAAUGUAAAAUAGCUCAUUAAUAAAUUUUUUAUGGCUUACAUAUAGAACUGAAAAUUUUUUUGAUAUAUUGAGGGUGAGGCAGAAUAAUGCACCCCAAAGAUGUCCAUGCCCUAAUCCCUAGAACGUGUGAGAAUAUAUUACUGUACAGAGCAAAAUAGAUUUUGCAGCUGUGACUAAGUUUAAGGAUUUUACUAUAGGGAGAUUAUACUGAAUUAUCUAGGUGGGUCCAAUCUAAUCACAUGAGUUCUUAAAAGCAAUGAACCUUUCCCAACUGUAUCGGGGAGAUGCAACCUGAGAAGUACUUGACCUGCCAUUGCUGGCUUCAAAGAUGAAGAAAGAAAACCAGAAGCCAAGAAAUACAGCAGUCUCUGGAAGCUAAGAACAUCCCUCAGCGUACAGCUAGCAAGAAAACAAGGACCUCAGCAAGGUAGUAAAUUCUGCCAACAACCCAAAUGAGCAAGAAAUUGAUUCUCUCCCAGAACCUCCAGAAAAGAACACAGCCUACCACGCCUUGGUUUUAGUCUGAUGAGACCUGUAUCGGACUUCUGACCUAUAGCACCGUAAGAUAACAAAUUACUAAUAAGUUUAUGACAGCAGUAAUAAAAAAACUAUUACACUAGGUUAAUUAUUUAUUCUAAUUUAAUAUUAAUAAAUUAGUAACAAUUAUUAAAACUAAUUUAACCAGUUUCUUUUUACAUUUUUGGUUUUUUUUUUUUUUGAGACAGAGUUUCACUCUUGUUGCCCAGGCUGGAGUACAAUGGCGCGAUCUGGGCUCACCACAACCUCUGCCUCCCAGGUUCAAGUGAUUCUCCUGCCUCAGCCUCCUGAGUAGUUGGGAUUACAGGCAUGCGCCACCACGCCCAGCUAAUUUUGUAUUUUUAGUAGAGACAGGGUUUCUCCAUGUUGGUCAGGCUGGCCUUGAACACCUGACCUCAGGUGAUCCACCCACCUCAGCCUCCCAAAGUGCUGAGAUUACAUGCGUGAGCCACCACACCUGGCCUUUACUUUUUUAAUGUGACUACUAGAAAAUUAAAAGUUACAUACUGUAUAUGACUCACAUUUGUGGUUCACUUUGUUUCUGUUAAACAGUGCUGAUCACACACAGGCACAUCACAUAUUUUUUAACCCAUGACACUACAUUGACUUUGUAUAUAUAGAGAGAGACGAGGUCACUAUGUUGAUAAAGCUGGAGUGCAGUGGCACAACACAGAGAGAGACCUUGAUUAUAGCUUACUAUAGCAUCCAGCUCCUGGGUUCAAGCAAUUCUUCCACCUCAGCCUCCCAAGCAGCUGGGACUACAGGCACCACUGCCUCUGGCUUGACAUAGACUUUUUGAGGACAGCACACUAGUUGUCUUGCAGAAUAUUCCCCCUACUCUGGACUUGUCAGAUUGCUUUAUCAUGGUGUCAUUUAACUUACUCCUCUACCCUGUAUAUUCCCUGUAACCUGGAAGUUCAUUUAAACAGUUUCAUUAGAUAUGGGUUAAACAUUUUUGGCAAGAAUACAAAGGUGGCACUAUGACGUCAUGUUGUAUGUAUCACAUCAGGAAGCUCAUAAUGUUUGGUUGUCUGACUAUAAAUGAUGCAAGUUCGAUUAUUAGUUAAGGUCGUGUUGUGAGUUGAACUGUGUCCCCCCAAAAGAUAAACUGAAUUCCAAACCCCUGGUACCGGUGAAUGUGACUUUAUUUGAAAAUAGUGGUUUUUGCAGAUAUAAUCAAGCUAAGAUGAAAUCAUACUGGAUUAGGGUGGGCCUAAUCCCAUACUGUCCUUACAAGAGAGAAAUUUGGACACCAAGACACAGAGACGUUCAGGGUGGAUGCCAAGUGAUGACAGAGGCAGAGGCUGGUGAUGUGUCUAUAAGGCCAAGAAUGCCAAGCAUCGCUGGCAACCACCAGAAGCCAAGAAAGAGGCAUGGAACUGAUUCUUCUUCAGAGCUCCCAGAAGGAACCAACCCUGCUGACACAAUGAUUCAGACCUCUGGCCUCCAGAACGGAGAGAAUACUUUUCUAUUGUUUUAAUCCUAUUGUUUAUUCUAUUGUUUAAAUUAUUGUAAUAAUUUGCUACAGCAGCCCCAGGAAAUAAGU
Molecule: long non-coding RNA, 3523 nt
Filed under: Homo sapiens (human)
Lineage: Eukaryota; Metazoa; Chordata; Mammalia; Primates; Hominidae
Description: HSALNT0263675
Source: RNAcentral